UUUGUGUUUGAUACCCUGAGAAGC
This 24-nucleotide non-coding RNA is filed under the name Cricetulus griseus (Chinese hamster). The record is from RNAcentral. Lineage: Eukaryota; Metazoa; Chordata; Mammalia; Rodentia; Cricetidae.